UACAGUUGAUUCCCGACUCUGGCUGGCGGCGGGUGUGCUCGUAUGUGCUCUCCUUGGGGCAUGGGUCUGGUGAGCCAUGGAUGGAUAUAAAAUUACCAGCAGUUGGGUGAUGGCCAGAAAAUCCUGGCUAAUGAUAUUACUAUGGAUGGCUGUUUCUCCUUCAUCAGCAGACACAGGGUUCUUGGAGUCUAUAGAAGUGCAACCAGACCCCACUGAGUCUCCCUCCUCAGGUAAGUCUUAAUAACUUUGCAAUUAAUCUUGAUUGCAGGUAGCAGGCAUUUACGAGCUCUUUGUUGCUCGUUAACAACUUUGUUGCUGGCUUUUUAAUAAACUUCCCCACUCCCCUCCCCUUCUUCCUCCCUCCCACCCUCCCUCCCGGUAGUGCUUGUUUAGGGUCGAGAACUGUUGGUUGAAAGUUUAACAGCUCAUGAUAGGAGUUCUGAUAACAGGUUAGACCUAUAGUGUUGCAAUCUAGAAGGGGCAGGAAAACACUUUACACAACAUGAGUUAAUUGAAAUAUUGUUUUAAAUUUGUAUGGUUUUGUUUCUGUUGUCAGCAAAGUGAAGACUCUUGCCGUUGACCAGGUUUUGGCUGAAAUAUAAAUUUUAGGUUAAGAACGGGAGUUAAUGAAUUCUAAUUAAAAUCGCGGCAUUUUCCAGAAUUAAGCGUUUCAGCACUGGACUAAGUCAUGCAAGAGUAUCUCUUUUGAAUGAACGUCGACACAGAUAUAGACCUAGUGGGCGACUCGAUUCUCAUGAGUGAGUUUCAUGAAUUCUCAGUCAUUUAUGAAUGAUUUUCAUUCUCAUCUUUCGUAUAUCAUGGGAAUAGUGCUAGGGAAUUUCCCGCAAGGAUUCGGAUUGGGGGGGAGGGGGGUCGUGGGAAGAGCAUGCAAAGAUUAGGACUGGAAGGAGGCGCACGUGAUGUUGAAAUUGCAAACUCGCGCCGGGGGGGAGGGGGUGCAUGUGGAUAGUCACCUAGGGAGAUUGAUGUACGCGGCUAGGCGGUAAAGGGGGGCUGCGCGUGAUGGGGUCUUCUCAUGACUCCAAAUUAUGGGGGAGAAGGAUGAGGUCUCGAUGGGGAGUGGGCCUGCGAAGAGGAUGAUAGGAGGCAAUUAUGUGUCGCCUAUUAGGGAAAUAAAUGAGGAUAGAGGAGGGAAUUUCUAAGUUGGUGAAGUGGAAUUGGGAUCACUCCAGGUGGAAAAUAAAUUAGGAUUAAGGCGAGGAUAGAGAAGGAUAGUCCCUGGACAGGGAAGGAGAUGGAGACCCUACAGGUGAGGAUCAAACCGAGCAUAGAAGAGGCUGGCGGGGUCCCUCGUAGAGAAAGAAAUGGAAAUGGGGACGAGGGCAAAGGUGAGGAUCAGGGUAGAGGGGAAAGUCUGUAGAUAGGCGAGAGA
RNAcentral lists this long non-coding RNA (1393 nucleotides) under Penaeus japonicus. Its description in RNAcentral is "uncharacterized LOC122263441". Lineage: Eukaryota; Metazoa; Arthropoda; Malacostraca; Decapoda; Penaeidae. The record is from RNAcentral.